Long non-coding RNA from Lates calcarifer (barramundi perch), 1600 nucleotides. RefSeq lists it as uncharacterized. The record is from RefSeq and is a predicted model, not a curated record. The transcript is spliced from 6 exons. NCBI's taxonomy places the organism in Eukaryota, Metazoa, Chordata, Actinopteri, Centropomidae.
UGCUGGAAACUCAUGAAGAAGAAGCGCCAACACAUGCUCUCACAACCAUGGAUGUACAGAGCUGGAUGCCGGAUCAAAAAUGGGGCCCAUUCAGUCCUAUCAGAGUUGCUCCCCUGGCACAUACAACAAAGAAGUGAGAUUAAAGGCUGACAAUUGACUGAUAAAUGCAAUGUGACUUUUCAGGGCUUUUUCUUGGUUUUUGAAAAGUUUUACAAAGAUUGAAACUCCAUGGCUUAAAAAUGUAAAAUACAAUGAAUUAUGAUUGACUUUGUAUAUAGCUGGAAGUGUCCUGUCAACAAUUUUACAGGUGUCUCUUUUACAGUGACGGUCUACGGCCAAAAUGCAUUUUGGCCCACAGGGGAUUUUUCUUUGCAAUACCACGAGUUGCCAAUGGAAAAAACCUGCUGCAAGGUUAAGCAUGGCACAGAGUUUGUAUCCAGUUCUUAUAAUACAUCUACGAUCCAGACCUCAUCGUCUCUCACUUUCCCCUCCGCCCUAUCAAACCAAUCAGAGGCGGUUGCAAGGCUGAACAGAAUUACUUGGCUAAUUGGCGUUUGGCGACAACACAUUGGCGUUGUGUUGUCAUUGGCUACGUCCUGUGUCGUCAUCGGUCAUGACCUAUGGGAGGAGCGCGGAGAGGCGGAGAAACAAAGUCGGAAAGCACAUUAAGACCAAUGUUUGAACCGUUUCCUCUGUUUGUUAAUACUGUUGGAAAACUUCAUUACCGAAGAAGCCUGCAUACUAAAAUGAACUUUGGAGCUGCUUUUUUGUCGAACACGAGUGAGGCUGGACGCUGAAUACAUCUGCGGCGGGAGGGUCUACUUGUUCAUCUGCUGCUGCUUGGACAGACCCCGACAUCACCUUACAAAUCAACAGUUGUCACCAUUUUGUCUAUGAUCACAGAGACACUGUCAAGGAUGAGGGAGACAUUGUCCACGAUCGCAGAGAGUCCUUGUACGAUAAAGAAGUUCUUUGAGACCAGGACUGAGUCCUCCAGGUGUCCCCACAUCGUCCACGAUCCCAUCGAUCACGAGACCUUGGCAAAGAUGAAACGUUGUCCAUGAUUUGCAGACACUGGGGUCACAGAUUCCUCAUCCAUGAUCACAUUCUUUGUACAAUGAAGUUCUUUGAGACCAGGGCCAAGUCCUCCAGAUUAAUUGACAGAAACGGGAUCCACCAAUGGUAAAGGUGGAGAAGACCACAUCACCUGAGUGAGGAAGGCAGUCUCUCUAUCUAAAGAUAUGUGUACAUAAUAAAACUUACAAAGACCUUCUGGAAAUAUCUUCCUGUCUCCUCCCUUUGUGACUUCAUUGUUUGACUCCUGUACAGAAACAUAAACAUGUGCCUUGUUACAAAUCAAAAUUAGAGCCGUUUCUGGAUGUUUAACUCAAAACUGUCAAAAGAGAGAUGUAAAAGACAGUGAAUCUAAAAAGCAAUCAAAGUGUGGACUUACUGGUGCUGACUACUCCAAAGACAGAAAAGGUUGCUCUGACUGAAGAACUGACUACACCAGAUACUGACACAAAUAAAAUACCUGGAGGACUCGGUCCAGCUCUCAAAGAACUACUUCAUUGUGCAAACACACUCUACAAUCAUGGAC